GCCAAAUAGCUAGCCCGAACAUAACUAUAACUUUAAAAUAUAGAUAAAAAAACCAUCCCACACACUAAAACAUUUUACCCCCUUAGUAUAGGCGAUAGAAAAGGAUCUCGGAGCAAUAGAAAAAGUACCGCAAGGGAAAGUUGAAAAAGAAAUGAAAUAAGACAACAAAGCUAUAAAAAGCAGAGACUAAUUCUCGUACCUUUUGCAUCAUGGUCUAGCAAGUAAAGCCCAAGCAAAGAGAACUUAAGUUUGACCCCCCGAAACCAGGAGAGCUACUCCGGAGCAGCCCAAAGGGGCAUAUCCGUCUCUGUGGCAAAAGAGUGGAGCGACUCCCGAGUAGAAGUGACAAGCCUACCGAACCUGGUGAUAGCUGGUUGCUCAUAAAAUGAAUAUAAGUUCAGCGCUAUAAACUUCUUACCCCUACACAAAAAGGAGUAAGUAAAACAUAGUAGUUAGUCAAAAGGGGUACAGCCCUUUUGAAAGAGGACACAACCUUAUUCGGGCGGAAAAGGAUAAAUAACCAAGGAACCUACCCCAGUGGGCCUAAAAGCAGCCACCUGUAAAGAUAGCGUUAAAGCUCAAGCGGACCCCAACCCAGAAUACAAAUUAGCCAAACCCCACCCCCCAAAAAUACUGAGCCCCCCUAUAAAAGUAUAGAGAAGAUAAUGCUAGAAUUAGUAAUAAGAAGGGCAUGCCCUUCUCCUCGCACAAUCGUGAAUCAGAUAGGACCCACCACUGAUAACUAACGGACCCAAAAGAAGGAGCGGCAACAGAACAACAAUAAACAAGACAACCAUGCCAAAAAUACCGUCAUCCCGACACAGGAGUGCACCCAGGAAAGACUAAAAGGGGAAGAAGGAACUCGGCAAAUUAAAGUCCCGCCUGUUUACCAAAAACAUCGCCUCUUGCUAACAAUGAAGUAUUAGAGGUCCCGCCUGCCCUGUGACAGCAAUGUUUAACGGCCGCGGUAUCCUAACCGCGCGAAGGUAGCGUAAUCACUUGUCUUUUAAAUGGAGACCUGUAUGAAUGGCAUAACGAGGACUUAACUGUCUCCUUUCCCUAGUCGAUGAAAUUGAUCUGCCCGUGCAGAAGCGGGCAUACCAGCAUAAGACGAGAAGACCCUAUGGAGCUUUAGGCAGAUGAUCAAGCUCAACAAGCCCUGUCAAAAAUCAGGAUUGGGAAGACAAACGCCAAUGAUCAGCACGCCUUCGGUUGGGGCGACCGUGGAGGAGAAAAAAGCCUCCAUGUAGAACGGGAAAACCCUUAAGCUAAGAUAAACUAAUCUAAGUAUCAGAAAUUCUGACUAAGUAUGAUCCAGGACAAAUCUGAUCAACGAACUGAGUUACCCUAGGGAUAACAGCGCAAUCCUCUCCCAGAGUCCAUAUCGACGAGAGGGUUUACGACCUCGAUGUUGGAUCAGGACAUCCUAAUGGUGCAGCCGCUAUUAAGGGUUCGUUUGUUCAACGAUUAAUAGUCCUACGUGAUCUGAGUUCAGACCGGAGUAAUCCAGGUCGGUUUCUAUCUAUGUCCUAGCCUACCCCUAGUACGAAAGGACCGGAGUAGGGGGGCCUACAAACAAACAAGCCCCACUUCAACCUGCUGAAAUUAUCUAAAGCAGACAAUGAAGAAGAUUUAAUAACCAAAGGUAAUGGUAU
This 1655-nucleotide ribosomal RNA is filed under the name Gymnothorax richardsonii (Richardson's moray). Its description in RNAcentral is "16S ribosomal RNA". It matches the Rfam family "Bacterial large subunit ribosomal RNA". Lineage: Eukaryota; Metazoa; Chordata; Actinopteri; Anguilliformes; Muraenidae. The record is from RNAcentral.